CAUUGUGAAGUCGGGGGAAGGCUGGCAGAGGGGCCCAGUCUAGUCUGUGACCUGAGCCAUCAUGGUAGGGUGUCCAGGGUGAGGGGAGGGUGGUGUGAAUCCCCAGUAAUGCAGGUCCUUUCCAGGCCAGGCCCCUGGUCCCCAGGAGUGCGGGGAUGCCUGAGGUCUACUGCUGCCUUAUCCAGAGCUGCCAUCCCCGGCGAUGACUCAGAGUUCCUGUGGCCCCAGCAUCAUCCCUCCAUCCCUGGCUGUGAGGCAGGAGCAGAGUUGCAGACCUGAGAGGCCUUGAAUUUGUUUGAUAUAGGACUUUGCCACCAGACAAAGUGCUUUGCCUGUGAGGUCUGGCUUGGCCUGGCCUCUGAGAAAGAACAAACACAGACCUCACUGGAAGGAACCUGGAGAACGGGAGAGGAGAGGCUGCUGCUGUCUGCCCUCCCAGCAGCAGAUAUAAAGACAAUGGGCUUCUAAGUCCCCUAGAGUCCCAGCUGUGUAAUUUAAGGCAAAUAUAAUUUCUGACCUACGUAAUGAUGUAUGCACAAGAAGCCUCUCUUGAAUGUAUUAAUUCAGUAAACAGUUAUGGAGUCCUUACAAUGUGCUAGUGGGACUUUGAAGAUGAAUCCAAAUUUGGAUCCUGGCCUGGAAAGGCUCAAAGCCCAAUAUGGGAGCCUGGAUACAAAUGUGAAACUUAUCUUCUUUUAUUAACCAAUCAAUCACCUCCUGCCAAAACAACAUCAGCAAAAACAACAGAAAAAAACAAAAACAAAAACAAAAACAAAUCUGUGUACACAAGACCUUUGUUUCCACAGCAGACUUGGCUAAAGGUUUGGGCAUGCAUAUGCAUACCCCCAAAAUUAAAAAUGGAAAAUUGAACA
RNAcentral lists this long non-coding RNA (872 nucleotides) under Homo sapiens (human). RNAcentral describes it as "long intergenic non-protein coding RNA 1227". Lineage: Eukaryota; Metazoa; Chordata; Mammalia; Primates; Hominidae. The record is from RNAcentral.